Molecule: ribosomal RNA, 703 nt
Filed under: bacterium 26-L049658-122-015-B04
Lineage: Bacteria
Description: bacterial SSU rRNA
Rfam family: Bacterial small subunit ribosomal RNA
Source: RNAcentral
AGUAGCUUGCUACUUUACCUAGCGGCGGACGGGUGAGUAAUGCUUAGGAAUCUGCCUAUUAGUGGGGGACAACAUCUCGAAAGGGAUGCUAAUACCGCAUACGUCCUACGGGAGAAAGCAGGGGACCUUCGGGCCUUGCGCUAAUAGAUGAGCCUAAGUCGGAUUAGCUAGUUGGUGGGGUAAAGGCCUACCAAGGCGACGAUCUGUAGCGGGUCUGAGAGGAUGAUCCGCCACACUGGGACUGAGACACGGCCCAGACUCCUACGGGAGGCAGCAGUGGGGAAUAUUGGACAAUGGGGGGAACCCUGAUCCAGCCAUGCCGCGUGUGUGAAGAAGGCCUUUUGGUUGUAAAGCACUUUAAGCGAGGAGGAGGCUACCGAGAUUAAUACUCUUGGAUAGUGGACGUUACUCGCAGAAUAAGCACCGGCUAACUCUGUGCCAGCAGCCGCGGUAAUACAGAGGGUGCAAGCGUUAAUCGGAUUUACUGGGCGUAAAGCGCGCGUAGGUGGCCAAUUAAGUCAAAUGUGAAAUCCCCGAGCUUAACUUGGGAAUUGCAUUCGAUACUGGUUGGCUAGAGUAUGGGAGAGGAUGGUAGAAUUCCAUGUGUAGCGGUGAGAUGCGUAGAGAUCUGGAGGAAUACCGAUGGCGAAAGCAGCCAUCUGGCCUAAUACUGACACUGAUGUGCGAAAGCAUGGGGAGCAAA